RNAcentral lists this ribosomal RNA (410 nucleotides) under uncultured bacterium. RNAcentral describes it as "partial 16S ribosomal RNA". It matches the Rfam family "Bacterial small subunit ribosomal RNA", at positions 355 to 758 of the family's 1533-position model. The record is from RNAcentral.
UGGGGAAUAUUGCACAAUGGGCGCAAGCCUGAUGCAGCCAUGCCGCGUGUGUGAAGAAGGCCUUCGGUUGUAAAGCACUUUCAGCGAGGAGGAAGGUGGUGAACUUAAUACGUUCAUCAAUUGACGUUACUCGCAGAAGAAGCACCGGCUAACUCCGUGCCAGCAGCCGCGGUAAUACGGAGGGUGCAAGCGUUAAUCGGAAUUACUGGGCGUAAAGCGCACGCAGGCGGUUUGUUAAGUCAGAUGUGAAAUCCCCGGGCUCAACCUGGGAACUGCAUUUGAAACUGGCAAGCUAGAGUCUCGUAGAGGGGGGUAGAAUUCCAGGUGUAGCGGUGAAAUGCGUAGAGAUCUGGAGGAAUACCGGUGGCGAAGGCGGCCCCCUGGACGAAGACUGACGCUCAGGUGCGAAA